CAUAGCACACAGGCACUUUCUCCUCUGAUGUAUGGAUGAUAGGAUAGUUCUUAACUGGGGACCUAUGGAUUGGGCAGCCACAAACUAUCAGAAGGUAGAAAUAGUAAACAAUCUAUUAAGGGUGGAAGGACUAGUCUCUGAAGACAUUCUCUGUUUUCAUCUUACAGAAAGAGGUAUACCAUAGAGUUGAUUGAAGAGAUUUUGAACACCAGCAGUGAAAACUCCCAGAAAAUGCAAGCAGCACCUGGUGUAAUUCUCAACAACAGUUAUGGGUGAGCACAUGGAUAGAGUAGCAAAUAUUUUGGUGAUUGCAAUAAUGUCUAUGAUUCUUGUUACUGUAUUUCUACACAGUUGAAUGCUUACCAAAGGACAUUAUUUCAGAAAAGAUGUUCAGACUCACCUUGACCCCUGAGGAAUGGAGCCUGCUCUCUAUGGACAGAGAUCUCUCAAACUGUGCAGAGUAUAUUCCCUUCAUACAUUGAUUAGGAGAUUUCAGAAUCCAUGAGAAGUUCUAUGGUGGUCCUUCUGGAAUGAUGGAGUUCUCAGAACUGCACUGACCACCAGAGACAGGGAGGCCUGUUACCAGAGGGAUGAUCACAUCCAGAACACAAAUGAGAAAGAAUCCACCUGAAGAAAGCUUGGAAAUGACUAUUUUAUCAUAGCAUUUUAAAAAAUCAUUACUUUAGUAUAAUUUAAAGAAACAAAAUUUAGUUCCGAUAUACAGAAACCUGACUUGAAGUAUUACAUGGAAAACAUUUGAUUUCUCACUUAAUUUCCAGUUCAUUCCUACUGUCUGAUUUCAGAGCACCUAGUUUAUCAUGUUGAUGACCUUAUGCAGCUUAAGUCUGGUGAGCAGGAAAAAGCACUUAAUCUAGGUUUGCAGAUAAGGACUAUAUGUGAUAGAGAGUAAGGUAAAUGUCAGAAAAAUUCAGGAGACUACUACCUUUGUAAAGUUGCUACAGAAUGAAUGAAAUACACAGGCACAUGCUGAAAUAUCAACUUGAAAGCCAAAAAGCAGCAAUGCCACUUGUUUACCUCUAUCAUUGAAGCUGGUCUCCACAUUUGACUUGCUUCUUGAAAAUCAAGGGACAUAAUAUAAAAUGUUUGAGUUCUCUGCAUGAUCAUUUUCCAAGUCAGCACAUAGACUGCCAAUUUUCAAUGAGAACUAAAGCAGGAAAUUUCUCUAUAGGUGGCAGCUAUUGUACAAACUGCUAUGCCAUUACCUUAACAAGCUAGCACACCUAGUGCCUUUGGCAGUUUGUAUGGAAGAUAUUUUGACAAUAACCCUAGGUAAAUUACAAUGAAUCUCCCCGAGGUUUUCUAGUAGUGUAUUUCUCUCUUCUGCAAAUAACUAUUAUCUUUGUUUUGUAUUGGAUCUGGUUAAAAUUAAUUGCCUUAUCUUGGUUCUUCAUUGACCUGAGAUGCUUCUCAUCAUCUAAUCUGCAAAAACUUUAUAUAAGAGGAGCAAUGUCAUAUCAGGAAUAUACAUAGGUGGUAUUUAUGCUCAUAAUACAUAUCUACAGUUGGUAUUUAUGCUCAUAAUUUCUUCUAUGUGUACUUUAUUUUCUUUUCUGCCUCAAGCAACUAAUAUGGUACUAUGGGGGAGUUUCUUAUAAAAAGUUGUUCAAGGAAGAAAAGAAAUUUAGACCUUAUGGAUAAGUGCUCACAUGUGAUAUAGUAAAACCAGCCAAAAUUAGGACCUAUCAGACAUUUAGAGACUUAUAAACACACACAGGAGUAGCCCUGAGCAAAGUGUGAUAAUGCUUCUGAAUAGUAUAUCUGAUUAACUAUGAUGACAAUGUAAAGAAUGAUGGAAAGAUGUUUGGGACUCAACAAAUUCACGAGCAAUGACCAAUUAUUUAUCUAGAAAAAAAAGUAAUUGGUUGGGGUUGGGAUUGUGACUCAGUGGUAAAGCACUUGCCUAGCAUGUGUGAAGGACUGGGUUUGAUUCUCAGCACUGCAUCAAAAUAAAUGAAUAAAAUAAAGGUCCAUCAACAUCUAAGCAAAUAUAAAAAGAUAGUAAUUAGAAAAGCACAAAAUUGAAAAAUUGAUUAUAAGGAGUUCUGUGGAAGAGCUCAUGAAUGGACUUCAGGAAGUAGAUGUGGGAUAAUCAUAUUGGUGUUCCAUGUGCUGUCACCAAAUGGUUCCCAACACAGAAAAGCCUCUCUGUAAUUCUCUGGAAAAGAUGAUGUACUCUUUGAAUGUUAGAAAACCACUUUUUUUUCUAUUCACUCUAGUGCCUGAUCUAUUAAUCAUGGGUGAGGAGGCCUGGGCUGCGGGUAAGGGAGUUAUUCAUGGCCUCAACAAUAUGAACUUCUCACCAUAGCUGGCCUAGCUACAUUCACUGCUGGACAUCAAAGUUUCCAGUAUAGACACCAAUGCUGGUACCCUGAUAGGAUCUUGUCUUAGUUCAUUUGGCACUCACUGCUAUAACAAAAUAUUUGAGACUGAAUUAAUUUUAAAAAUCUUAAAUUUACUUCUUUUAUUUCUGAAGGUUGGAAAAAUCUAAGAUCAAGAUACCAGCAGGUUCAGUUGCUGGUGAGGGCUGUUUUCUGCUUCUACGAUUACACCUUAUGGGUAUAUUCUAAUGAAAUGUCCUAUACAGUAGAAAGUUGAAGGACUAGUGGAUGGAACAUUGUGUGAAGCUUAUUUUUAAGAGGUCUUUCUUAAUCACUCUUGAAAGGGAAGAAUUCUCAUGGUGUAAUCAUGUCUCAAAGGCCCAUGUCUUGCUGCCAUCAGACUGGCCAUUAAGUUUCAACACCUAAAUUUUAGAAUGUCCAAUUUCAAACCAUAGCAGAGUUAUUCUCAGCAGCUCCACUUGGCCACGUGUUAGCACAUUGAUUUGAAUGAUUUUCAUCUAUUAUAUUCACCACCAAUGUGUCCUAAGCUACAUCAUUUCCAAUCAAGGAAAUCAUUAAUAAAAGAAAGAAAAAAAAAAGAAACAAGACAAUAUGCCCAUGAGUGAUGAUUCACUGGUCUUAACAUUUAUUCUAUAAUCAAAAAAGCUAAGUUUAUUAAUUGGAAUGGCACACUGAAGAGUUGGAGAAAAAACAGUCUUAAAAGUUACAACUAACAAAAAAUGUGCAGCCAGAAUAUGUGGUUUCAGUAAUCAGAAAUGAGAGCUGGAGAGGCUUGGUUUUUCUUUUUAUUAUUGCCAAUUACCACUUGCAAAUGGUUGCUUUAACUCCCUGGGAUUUAGAGAGCUGAAUGUUAGAGAUAUUAUUUAUCAUUAAAAUACAACAGUGUGUCCAGUUAGCUGGCUGCCACCUGGCCUAUUGAGACUACUAAUGCCAUUGAACCAACAGGCCAAAAAAAAGUGUGUGUGGGGGAGUCAAUAUAGUGACUAGGAUGAAUGAUAUUGAAUAUCAGUUAAAAAUAAUGUACUACAGAAGGGGAGGAGAAGAAUAUGUGUGAAAUCCAAAGUUUCUCUGGGAACCCAUUUUUUAAUUUUAAACUUAGGUGGGAAACAUUAAAUAGAAGAUAGUAAUAUUUCAAUAAAAGCAGUCCAGAGAUGAAUAUUGGAACUGAAUGCACUUUGUAAGAGAUGCCUCGAGUACCUUAAUUUUUGCUAGGGAUACCUUCAUUAUAAUAGGUGGAAGCAUGAUGUUAUUUCUAUUGUUACUGUGUGGAAGUUAAAUACAGGCAGAAACAUCUGACUGACAUGUUAUCAUGUUGGCAUCUUAAAAUAGAUCUUUGUGAGGGCUUUCUUUUUUUCCAUCAGAGAACUGAUGGUCAGUGUUAACUGACACACCACUGGAUAGAUACACGUGUGUUCACUGGAAGCUGUGCUGGGUAUUUUUAUUGGCAAUUUGAAACUUUAUUUUUAAAAACUUUCCACUGAAAUAUAAGAUGGAGUGAACACAAUUUCCCCAAUUCUUUCCAUUAAUUACAAAUAAAAUAAUCAGGCAUGAUAUUGUGAAAAUAUGUUUUUAUCAUUUAAAUGAAAACACUUUCUACUAAAACAUUUUUUUCUUUCAUCUUAACAGUGUCUGUAUAAAUAGUAGUUCAUAGUUUAUAAUACAUCGGCUUAAAGAAAACAGAACAUAAAUAGUAUAUUCUAGGUAUAUUCUAGUACAUAUACUAGAGUUAAACAUUGAGUCUUGUAUGUGAUGACCAAAGGCUCAAGGAAUAGGGAGUGAAAAUUUUUAAAACAUUGUUUUAAGUAAUUUGGUUAAAAAACAAAUAAUGGAAGACAUAGAAGUGAAAAGGGAAACAGAUAUAUCAAAUGUAUUCUAAAAUUAGGAUAUACACUAAAUGAUUCUGCCAUAGACAUUUC
Long non-coding RNA from Sciurus carolinensis (gray squirrel), 4276 nucleotides. RefSeq lists it as uncharacterized. NCBI's taxonomy places the organism in Eukaryota, Metazoa, Chordata, Mammalia, Rodentia, Sciuridae. The transcript is spliced from 6 exons. The record is from RefSeq and is a predicted model, not a curated record.